GUUUAUCAAAAACAUUGGCCAUGUGAUAGAUAUCCUCAUAGAUGGUCCAUCCUGCCCCAUGACCCUAAAUAAUCCUAGUCUUAAAUGGCCGCGGUACCCUGACCGUGCAAAGGUAGCAUAAUCAUUUGCCUAUUAAUUGUAGGCUAGUAUAAUCGGACAAACGUAGGCUAAACUUUCCCUCUUAAGACCAUAAAAUCUUAUCUUCAAGUGAAGAAGCUUGAAUUCCCCCGUAGGACAAGAAGACCCUAUAGAGCUUUCACCCCCUAACUACUCCUUUAAGUAGCAUCGGGUUCGGUUGGGGCGACCGAGGAACAAUCUAAACAUCCUACAACCACUAGACCCACCAGUCCACAUAAAGACCCUAAAUCAAGAUCACAGAAUCCAUGCUACCUUAGGGAUAACAGGCUAAUUUUUCUUAAGAGCCCAUAUCAGCAGAAAAGUUUGGCACCUCGAUGUUGGCUUAGGAAUUCCCUAUAAUGCAGCAGUUAUUGAUAGAUGGUUUGUUCAACCAUUGAUAUCCUACGUGAUCUGAGUUCA
Molecule: ribosomal RNA, 537 nt
Filed under: Limnodriloides monothecus
Lineage: Eukaryota; Metazoa; Annelida; Clitellata; Tubificida; Naididae
Description: partial 16S ribosomal RNA
Rfam family: Bacterial large subunit ribosomal RNA
Source: RNAcentral